UACGGAGGAUCCAAGCGUUAUCCGGAAUUACUGGGCGUAAAGAGUUGCGUAGGUGGUUAAGUAAGUUGGUAGUGAAAGCGUUCGGCUCAACCGGAUAAACAUUACCAAAACUACUUUGACUAGAGAAUGAGAGAGGUCGCUAGAAUUCCUUGUGUAGGAGUGAAAUCCGUAGAUAUAAGGAGGAAUACCGAUGGCGUAGGCAGGCGACUGGCUCAUUUCUGACACUAAGGCACGAAAGCGUGGGGAGCGACCGGG
Molecule: ribosomal RNA, 255 nt
Filed under: uncultured bacterium
Lineage: Bacteria
Description: partial 16S ribosomal RNA
Rfam family: Bacterial small subunit ribosomal RNA
Source: RNAcentral